Molecule: ribosomal RNA, 1021 nt
Filed under: Raffaelea arxii
Lineage: Eukaryota; Fungi; Ascomycota; Sordariomycetes; Ophiostomatales; Ophiostomataceae
Description: SSU rRNA
Rfam family: Eukaryotic small subunit ribosomal RNA
Source: RNAcentral
GCGAAACUGCGAAUGGCUCAUUAAAUCAGUUAUCGUCUAUUUGAUAGUACCUUACUACUCGGAUAACCGUGGUAAUUCUAGAGCUAAUACGUGCUGAAAACCCCGACUUCGGAAGGGGUGUAUUUAUUAGAUUAAAAGCCAAUGCCCCCCGGGGCCCCUUGGUGAUUCAUGAUAACUCCUCGAAUCGCACGGCCUUGCGCCGGCGAUGGUUCAUUCAAAUUUCUGCCCUAUCAACUUUCGACGGCUGGGUCUUGGCCAGCCGUGGUGACAACGGGUAACGGAGGGUUAGGGCUCGACCCCGGAGAAGGAGCCUGAGAAACGGCUACUACAUCCAAGGAAGGCAGCAGGCGCGCAAAUUACCCAAUCCCGACGCGGGGAGGUAGUGACAAUAAAUACUGAUACAGGGCUCUUUCGGGUCUUGUAAUUGGAAUGAGUACAAUUUAAUUCCCUUAACGAGGAACAAUUGGAGGGCAAGUCUGGUGCCAGCAGCCGCGGUAAUUCCAGCUCCAAUAGCGUAUAUUAAAGUUGUUGCAGUUAAAAAGCUCGUAGUUGAACCUUGGGCCUGGCUGGCCGGUCCGCCUCACCGCGUGCACUGGUCCGGCCGGGCCUUUCCCUCUGGGGAACCGCAUGCCCUUCGCUGGGCGUGCCGGGGAACCAGGACGUUUACUUUGAAAAAAUUAGAGUGUUCAAAGCAGGCUUAUGCUCGGAUACAUUAGCAUGGAAUAAUGGAAUAGGACGUGCGGUUCUAUUUUGUUGGUUUCUAGGACCGCCGUAAUGAUUAAUAGGGACAGUCGGGGGCAUCCGUAUUCAGUUGUCAGAGGUGAAAUUCUUGGAUCUACUGAAGACGAACUACUGCGAAAGCAUUUGCCAAGGAUGUUUUCAUUAAUCAGGAACGAAAGUUAGGGGAUCGAAGACGAUCAGAUACCGUCGUAGUCUUAACCAUAAACUAUGCCGACUAGGGAUCGGACGGUGUUGCUUUUUGACCCGUUCGGCACCUUGCACGAAAGUACAAGUUUUUGGG